UAUUAUUAUUAUUUUGGCAGAUUAGUGCUUUAAAUUUAGAAUUUAAUUAUGUGGAAGUACACAAAUAAUAC
This 71-nucleotide transfer RNA is filed under the name Troglocharinus ferreri pallaresi. RNAcentral describes it as "transfer RNA-Leu". Lineage: Eukaryota; Metazoa; Arthropoda; Insecta; Coleoptera; Leiodidae. The record is from RNAcentral.